RNAcentral lists this long non-coding RNA (285 nucleotides) under Mytilus galloprovincialis (Mediterranean mussel). Lineage: Eukaryota; Metazoa; Mollusca; Bivalvia; Mytilida; Mytilidae. The record is from RNAcentral.
GUGUGGUCUUAUUUUUUAGUGUCUUUUUGUUUAAAAAUGUUAUUUUGUCAUGUAAUAAAAUACCUCACUUUGUGCAAAAACGUACUAUGGUCAUGAUGGUGGUGUGUUUUUGUUGUUAUUUUUAAAGCUAUGCAUUAAUGGCAUGAAAUUUAUGUACUUAUCGCCCCAUGUGUGUUAUAUGGUUGAGGACCUAAAAUCUGUUUAUAUUGUUCAGUCUUUAGUGUAUUUUAUAUGAGCUGUUUUCCUCAAAGAUUCGAAUAAACAUUCAACUCAUUCUUAAAAGUU